GUAAUUCCAGCUUCAAUAGCGUAUAUCUAAAGUUGUUGUGGUUAAAAAGCUCGUAGUCGAACCUUGGGCCUGGCUGGCCGGUCCCCCUCACCGGGUGCACUGAUCCAGCCGGGCCUUUCCCUCUGUGGAACCCCAUGGCCUUCACUGGCUGUGCGGGGGAAACAGGACUUUUACUGUGAAAAAAUUAGAGUGCUCCAGGCAGGCCUAUGCUCGAAUACAUUAGCAUGGAAUAAUAGAAUAGGACGUGUGGUUCUAUUUUGUUGGUUUCUAGGACCGCCGUAAUGAUUAAUAGGGACAGUCGGGGGCAUCAGUAUUCAGUUGUCAGAGGUGAAAUUCUUGGAUCUACUGAAGACUAACUACUGCGAAAGCAUUUGCCAAGGAUGUUUUCAUUGAUAAGGAACGAAAGUUAGGGGAUCGAAGACGAUCAGAUACCGUCGUAGUCUUAACUAUAAACUAUGCCGAC
Molecule: ribosomal RNA, 463 nt
Filed under: uncultured eukaryote
Lineage: Eukaryota
Description: SSU rRNA
Rfam family: Eukaryotic small subunit ribosomal RNA
Source: RNAcentral